This 2185-nucleotide ribosomal RNA is filed under the name Faecalibacterium prausnitzii. RNAcentral's name for it is "partial 23S ribosomal RNA". It matches the Rfam family "Bacterial large subunit ribosomal RNA", at positions 1 to 2252 of the family's 2925-position model. The record is from RNAcentral. Lineage: Bacteria; Bacillati; Bacillota; Clostridia; Eubacteriales; Oscillospiraceae.
AAUCAAGUGCCUUAAGGGUGUUCGGUGGAUGCCUUGGCGCUGAGAGGCGAUGAAGGACGUGCUACGCUGCGAUAAGCCGUGGGGAGCUGCGAAGAAGCUUUGAUCCACGGAUUUCCGAAUGGGGAAACCCACCUUCGAUAGCCGGAACUCCAAGACCUUGUGUUUUGGGGUUCGACCAGAAAUGGAAGAAAUCAGACCGCGAGGUUUUGGAUUUCCGGUUAUCAAGAGAAGGUAUGAGACUUCCGAAUAAAAUAGGAGGUUUUAAGCGAACCCAGGGAACUGAAACAUCUAAGUACCUGGAGGAAAGGACAUCAAUCGAGACUCCGUUAGUAGUGGCGAGCGAACGCGGACCAGGCCAGUGAUACAUCAAAGACAAUCGGAACCAGUCAGGAAAGCUGGGCCUCAGAGGGUGAUAGCCCCGUACGAGUAAUGCGAUGAUGUAUCCACGAGUAAGGCGGGACACGUGUAAUCCUGUCUGAACACGGGGGGACCACCCUCCAAGCCUAAGUACUCCUCAGCGACCGAUAGUGAACCAGUACCGUGAGGGAAAGGUGAAAAGCACCCCGACGAGGGGAGUGAAAUAGACCUGAAACCGGACACCUACAAACAGAUGGAGCCCAAGAUACGUUCUGGGUGACAUCGUACCUUUUGUAUUAUGGGCCAGCGACUUAAUUUAACGAGCAAGCUUAAGCCGAUAGGCGAAGGCGCAGCGAAAGCGAGUCUGAAUAGGGCGUCAAGUUCGUUGUAUUAGACCCGAAACCUAGUGAUCUAGCCAUGAGCAGGUUGAAGGUGAGGUAACACUCACUGGAGGACCGAACGGGUGCCUGUUGAAAAAGGCUCCGAUGACUUGUGGUUAGGGGUGAAAGGCCAAUCAAACUGGGAAAUAGCUGGUUCUCCGCGAAAGAUAUUUAGGUAUCGCCUCGGAUGAAUGCCUCAGGGGGUAGAGCACUGGAUGGGCUAGGGGGACUUACCGUCUUACCAAACCCAACCAAACUCCGAAUACCUGAGAGCAAUAUCCGGGAGUCACACGGCGGGUGCUAACGUCCGUCGUGGAGAGGGAAACAACCCGGACCUACAGCUAAGGCCCCUAAUUCGUGGCUAAGUGGGAAAGGAUGUGGAAAUCCCAAAACAACCAGGAGGUUGGCUUAGAAGCAGCCAUCCUUUAAAGAAAGCGUAACAGCUCACUGGUCUAAAUAAGGGUUUCUGCGCCGAAGAUGUAACGGGGCUCAAGCCACGAGCCGAAGCUUAGGGUGUGAUCCGCAAGGGUCACGCGGUAGCGGAGCGUUCUGUAAGCCUGCGAAGGGCGACCCGUGAGGGCGCCUGGAGGUAUCAGAAGUGCGAAUGCUGGCAUGAGUAACGACAAACACUGUGAAAGACAGUGUCGCCGAAAGUCCAAGGGUUCCUGCGUAAAGUUAAUCUUCGCAGGGUUAGCCGACCCCUAAGGCGAGGCCGAAAGGCGUAGUCGAUGGGAAUGCAGUGAAUAUUCUGCAGCCAGUGGAUGGUGACGAAUCCAGUAUGUUGUCCGACCUUAAUGGAUUGGUCGGGCCUCGAAUGGGUUCCAGGAAAUAGCCUCCACAUCAGAUCGUACCCGAAACCGACACAGGUGGACUGGUAGAGUAUACCAAGGCGCUUGAGAGAACUAUGUUGAAGGAACUCGGCAAUUUACCUCCGUAACUUCGGGAUAAGGAGGCCCAUUGCAUGCGCAAGCAUGCAGUGGGGGCACAGACCAGGGGGUGGCAACUGUUUAACAAAAACACAGGGCUCUGCGAAAUCGCAAGAUGACGUAUAGGGUCUGACGCCUGCCCGGUGCCGGAAGGUUAAGAGGAGAGGUGCAAGCCUUGAAUCGAAGCCCCGGUAAACGGCGGCCGUAACUAUAACGGUCCUAAGGUAGCGAAAUUCCUUGUCGGGUAAGUUCCGACCUGCACGAAUGGCGUAAUGACUUCCCCGCUGUCUCCAACAUAGACUCAGUGAAAUUGAAUUCCCCGUGAAGAUGCGGGGUUCCUGCGGUCAGACGGAAAGACCCCGUGCACCUUUACUGUAGCUUUGCGCUGGUAUUCGUGACUGUUUGUGUAGAAUAGGUGGUAGACUUUGAAGCCGUGGCGCCAGCCAUGGUGGAGUCGAAAUGUGAAAUACCACCCUAAUGGUUAUGGAUAUCUAAUCGCAUCCCUUUAGCGGGGAUCGGGAC